CCUCAAUCCGCCCCCAGGGGCGGAUUAAGGCUCACUGGUGCCCUAAGCACUGACCAAUCUUGGUGCCCCCCUCCUUU
Amblyraja radiata (thorny skate) is the source of this 77-nucleotide long non-coding RNA. RefSeq lists it as uncharacterized. The transcript is spliced from 3 exons. Lineage: Eukaryota; Metazoa; Chordata; Chondrichthyes; Rajiformes; Rajidae. The record is from RefSeq and is a predicted model, not a curated record.